This 103-nucleotide non-coding RNA is filed under the name uncultured eukaryote. The record is from RNAcentral.
AUCCCUGCUCGCUAUGCUCGAGUCCUCCCCUGCUCGCUGUUCUUCAGGAGGCCCCUCUCAUCGCGUCCUCGGUUUUUCCAUGGCAGCUAGCUACACGGCACCU